GGGAAAGGGAAGGGAGGGAGAGGCUGUGGGGAGGAGGAGGGUGCUUCACCGGAGGCACUGCUCAGAGAUCCUCAGGGGGACCCAACCCACAGCUGUCCCCUUCCCUUCAGGGCAGUGGCCCUCCCAAGUGCAGCUGCGCCUGCCCAGUGAACUAGGUUGGGAACAUUUCCCGGUGGUGGGCUGGACUCCAUACACCGACUCAGAGGGCUCAGAGGUAAGAAAGACUGGUACAAACCCUGUGGCCGCUUGACCAGCCCCGCUUGUCUCUCAGGCUCAGUGUUCCCAUCUGAAGAGUGGGGGUAGCAGAGUGCUUGCCCUCUGUGUUGUAGAGGAAUCACAAGGAUUCUGCAGACAGAGCACUCAGCCUUGUUUCUGCCUGGCCCCUGGGACGCGCCCCAUAAAUACUCGCUAUUAUUUACGAUUGUCAAGGUCGCUGGCUUUAGCAUCAGGAGGCAAGCAGUUGAGAGAGGCAAACUUCAGGACUGGCCUGGAACCUACUCCUAUUUUUCAAAAGGGGAUUAUGUGCCAACGCUGCUCUCCUGUCACUGCUGGUGAGUGUGAUAUAGAAAGUUCUGGUGGCUGCAUGAGUGGGACAUGGGUCCCAGUACCAGGACCAAGGCCGGGGUGUCUGCCCCAGGAUACCAGAGACCCAGGGUUAUAAGCCACAGCUGUGGAGAUAAAACUCCAUCCCCCAGUCUGGAGUUCAGCCCUGUGAACCCUGCAGUGUCCCCUGAACCUGUUGUACUGACCAUCCCAGUGGGGCCUAGGGGCCUGAGAUGGAGCAGGCUGGGUAACAAAGGUUCCAGUCCUGAGUUGAAUGACAGCUGGCAGGACUGGGCUUUUGCCCAUGCACCUCCCUCAUCUGAGCCCGAGGCACCCCUUCUCCCUGACAGUGGAGGCCCAGGUUUGGGUCUCUGGGUGUUCCUGGGCUCCCAACGCCUCAGAGCUGGGCUGAGGGAAGAAAACAGCCUCAGAGGCCCCAGAACUGGACAGAUGUUGGAACAGACAGAGCUGAGGACAUCACGUCUCCCAUGGGCCUGACUGAGGGGCUCCUGGAGCCGCAGGAGACACAGGCCUCCCAGGGCCUGGCACAGGCCUUAGCUCUGUGGUGGGACCCCGCAGCCCCCUCCUCUGCUUCUCAGAUGUCCUGACUCUGAAAGGAAGGGUCAGGUGACAGCUGCCUGUGAGUCAGGAGCCCCUCUAGCUGUGACAGCGGAGAAGUCGCAGCAGUGCUGGCUGAGAGGAGGGUGGGGACAGCCGGAAGGUGGGCACUGCCCGGCAGACAGCAGCCGGGACUUUCCUGCUGGUAAAAUCACCCUGUUCUUUCCCUUCUUCAGUGUGGUCUGGGUAGGGGGUGACAAUGGCUUCACCGUUUCCUCAGAGGCCAUCUUUGACUGAAAGAGACCUCAGGCCCAUCCUAGGCAGUUAGAUGUGACAGUAGGGACACCACAUUCAGCUGGGCAGAUUGUUCACUGUCCGAGAGCGCUGGCUGAGGGGACAGCUGUGGGCCUGGAAUCCAGCCUCCCCUGUUCCCCAGGCCACACUCUUCAGCCGGGGCUGGACCUGCCUGAAGCACAGCGGCACCUUGUGCACCGUUGGUGCCACGGGGGGCCACCUAGGGGGCCUGCUCCCAGCUUUGGUUUCCUGAACUGAAAACAUAGAAGAGAUCCUUGCUCCAAACCCAU
Molecule: long non-coding RNA, 1685 nt
Filed under: Marmota monax (woodchuck)
Lineage: Eukaryota; Metazoa; Chordata; Mammalia; Rodentia; Sciuridae
Source: RNAcentral